This 653-nucleotide long non-coding RNA is filed under the name Homo sapiens (human). RNAcentral describes it as "HSALNT0185649". Lineage: Eukaryota; Metazoa; Chordata; Mammalia; Primates; Hominidae. The record is from RNAcentral.
AAAAAGCUCACAGAGUAGUGAAAAGAAGCAACAUUAAAUGUGCUUUUACUACUGAAUGUAACCACAGUUUGAUCAAAAUGCAAUUACAACACAGAGGAGGGUGUUAUAAAAUCUAUGGCCAAUAACUAAUUCUAGUUUCAUGAAGAUAAUGACAGUUGGCUUGGGUCUUGAAGCUUUUAGGAUUUCUUAAAGAAAUAGACAAAAAGGGAGAUGAUUUUACAUAAUUAUGUAAAAGCAUAUGUAAAGAAACAAAAAGUAUUCCUUUAUCUGAGCUAUUUUACUGAACUUUUGAGCUUGGUUUCCAAUGCCUUCCUGGCUAUUUGAUUUUGAAUAAGCUCUUAUCAACUGAAAUGAAAAAAAAAUAGUAAAAAAGGAUGGAAAAAUAGCAAAAAAACAUAAGAGGGAGAAUAGGAGGGAGAUUCUCCUUUUCAUUAAUUCUUCCUUUGGUAAAAUUCUUUGUCUCAUAAAAAUGUAUCCACAGUAAAAUACAUUUUAUAAUUUAUUUGUAUUAUUUUGUAACUCUAAUACAAUGUUUUUCAAACUUGACUGCACAUUGGAGUUAACUUGGGAGAUUUAAAAAAACAUAUUGAUGCCUGUGGGCCACUCCCAGGGAUUUUUUUUACCUAAUUGGUCUGGAGUACAUUGCUGGCACU